Molecule: long non-coding RNA, 1220 nt
Organism: Gossypium arboreum
Lineage: Eukaryota; Viridiplantae; Streptophyta; Magnoliopsida; Malvales; Malvaceae
Exons: 4
Source: RefSeq, a predicted model, not a curated record
GGGUUGCUAUCAUCAUAAGAAACAAUCUUUUAUUAGAGCCAAUGAGGAAAUCUUUGUUAUGCCUUAGAGGAAUAUAUAUAUAUAUAUAUCUGUUCAUCUACUCGUUUUCAUUUGUUUGUUUAUAGGUUAUAGCAUUAUUUUGUGGGGGAGUUCUUAUAUAGUCACACUAUUUAUAUCAGGUUCAAAUUAUUGGCAAUCAUGGAAUUGUUCAUAGAAAUUUCCCUUUUGGAAGAUUCAUUGAACAAGGGAGAGUUUUAAUUCACCAAUGGGAUGAAGUUUCCUCAUGCAAUUUGAAUGUUCCAUACAAUCGUAUAUUUGGACGAUCAAAGUUCCAAACCGCGUAUUUACUCAAACAUGCUGUUCUGUUUUUUUGGAUAUAGUAAUGCUAAGCCAUCUGGAUUCUUUCAGCAAAUCUGUUUAGCUUGAUAUUCAGCUACAUUUCUUUCCUUUCAUUAUGUAAAUUUAUCUCGUUUCGUCCUUCAUGCAAUCUUGCUUAUUCAUAUACGACAGGGCUUUAAACUGACCAAGCAAAGUAUGUGGAGAUCUGCUCCAGGUUGGCAAGGUGUUUCAGCUAAUCACCAUCCUUUGGCUGCAUAUUCCAUGUCUAAUCAAUGAAGUCUUGGCACGGACAGCUUAGCCAAGAUGCAUCCACUGCUGGUGCUGCUCGCUAGUUGACUGCACAAAGGAAUAAUGUGGAGGUGGUCUGUUGAGCCAGCUAAAUCUGAAUCUAAUAAAGCGAAAAAGUACUUCCGAAUGGAGUUUGUAGACAAAGAACAGGAAGAUACAUGCAAGGAUUUAGAUUUUGGCGCACUCGAAACAGUAGAUUGUGGUAACUCCUGUAUCGAUUUCUCCUUCGCAAAUUGAGUCACACGUUCAAAAGGCUGCAUUGGAUUGGAUAUCCAGAUCCUUCUAGGGCAGCAAUUGGCUCUUGGAUGAUCAACAUAGCAUCUUAAAUCACUCAUUUGCAUACACAAACAUUGUACUUUAUAAAUUCUUAGGGGCUUUUUUCUAUUUAAAUUACCAUAUAGUUUCGGGGUGGUUGUUGAUACAAGGGAAUAAGCUUUGUCUAAAUAUAUGUACGACCUUGCUUGUUGUUUCCGCAAAUUCAUUGAUUUGUGACAUGGUGUUCAUGCAUGAUUAAUCAUUUUUGUUCUUUUUGAAAUUUACGCUUUGUUGUUGACUAAAUUAUUCAAUGAAUUAUUGAAGUAUGGAAAAGCAAA